Molecule: long non-coding RNA, 1080 nt
Organism: Xenia sp. Carnegie-2017
Lineage: Eukaryota; Metazoa; Cnidaria; Anthozoa; Malacalcyonacea; Xeniidae
Exons: 10
Source: RefSeq, a predicted model, not a curated record
GUUUGUUAUUUGCAUUUUUAUUUGAGGGAGAAACUUUUCCUUCUUGUUUCAAUGUAAUAAACCAUAUUUAAUCAUUUGUACUUUGCUUGAAGUUUUCUCUUAUGCCAAAGAAGACAAAUACCUCCAAAGUUUGAACGCUUCUACCAAGGUUAUUGCUGCCACCCUGGGGCGUGCACAUAAUCAUGACAUAACUGGACCCAGUCCUUCUGGCCUAACUAUAUAGAGGUUUGAGAAAUUGGCGAUAAACUGUCGACAUGAUUACGAUUCUUUACAAAGUUCUUUCAAACAUGGUAAUCCUCCUCCACGUUAUCAUUAUGAAAACAGAACAUUUCAUAACGUCAGGAUCAACCUCAAACUGGCUUCACGGAAACCAUCAAACACAACAUUAAUCUUGAAUUUGAUCAAAAGUUUAAGAUAUCUAUCGACAGAAAAAACCGAUCGUUGGCGAGAAUAUUUCGACGACAAAGUGUGAAAUUUGAAAUAAAAUACAACAGAGGAUUUCUGAAAGGUGACAAGACGCUGGCUCAAGCUUCUCUUAAGUUAUCACCGUUUGAUAAAAGAUGUGAAAUUCACGAAUGUCUUAAUGUAAGUAAUGUGUGGUAUUUUUUUGAACUUUAUAAAUUAAUAAUUGCAGAAACUGUGUUUAAAUCAUUGAACUAUAUAUAACUGGACGGCCACCCACCCGCUAAAAUUUGAAGACAACAUUUCGCUUAUGCAUCCCAAGAAAGUUCGCAAGGUGAUUGGUGGAAAGAUUGAAGUCAAAUUACGUAUUCGUGAACCUCUGACAGAUAAAGAUGUUGAAAUCUUGACGAAAAAUUGUUGGUCAUAGAUGCAUUUGUAGCACCAACAAAUAGACCAAUCAGUGCUUCGUCAACAAGUAAGCUUAAAAAUCCAGAAAAUGGCAGAAAAGCAAAGAAUUCAAACCAAAUGUGAAUCAUCGUUCGUUGUAUUAAAAGGAAUUUAUUGUCGCCUCGAUUAUAAAUGAAUUCACAGACAAUUUCAUUUAAAGUUGACAUUUACUAUAUUGAAAAAGUUGUAAAUAUCAUGCUUAAAUGUAUAAAUACACUUUCAGUGUUUAAA